This 468-nucleotide ribosomal RNA is filed under the name uncultured bacterium. RNAcentral describes it as "partial 16S ribosomal RNA". It matches the Rfam family "Bacterial small subunit ribosomal RNA", at positions 28 to 507 of the family's 1533-position model. The record is from RNAcentral.
GACGAACGCUGGCGGCGUGCUUAACACAUGCAAGUCGAACGGAAAGGCCCUGCUUUUGUGGGGUGCUCGAGUGGCGAACGGGUGAGUAACACGUGAGUAACCUGCCCUUGACUUUGGGAUAACUUCAGGAAACUGGGGCUAAUACCGGAUAGGAGCUCCUGCUGCAUGGUGGGGGUUGGAAAGUUUCGGCGGUUGGGGAUGGACUCGCGGCUUAUCAGCUUGUUGGUGGGGUAGUGGCUUACCAAGGCUUUGACGGGUAGCCGGCCUGAGAGGGUGACCGGCCACAUGGGGACUGAGAUACGGCCCAGACUCCUACGGGAGGCAGCAGUGGGGAAUAUUGCACAAUGGGCGGAAGCCUGAUGCAGCAACGCCGGGUGCGGGAUGACGGCCUUCGGGUUGUAAACCGCUUUCGCCUGUGACGAAGCGUGAGUGACGGUAAUGGGUGAAGAAGCACCGGCUAACUACGUG